RNAcentral lists this ribosomal RNA (253 nucleotides) under uncultured bacterium. Its description in RNAcentral is "partial 16S ribosomal RNA". It matches the Rfam family "Bacterial small subunit ribosomal RNA", at positions 524 to 776 of the family's 1533-position model. The record is from RNAcentral.
UACGAAGGGGGCUAGCGUUGCUCGGAAUCACUGGGCGUAAAGCGCACGUAGGCGGGUUCUUAAGUCAGGGGUGAAAUCCUGGAGCUCAACUCCAGAACUGCCUUUGAUACUGGGAAUCUCGAGUCCGGGAGAGGUGAGUGGAACUGCGAGUGUAGAGGUGAAAUUCGUAGAUAUUAGGAAGAACACCAGUGGCGAAGGCGGCUCACUGGCUCGGUACUGACGCUGAGGCGCGAAAGCGUGGGGAGCAAACAGG